GAGCGGCGCGGGAGUCAGAGGCGCGGGCGGACCGGCAGGCCGCGCCGGAGCUUUUUCCCUUCCAAGGGUCGGUGCCCUCCUCUCUCCUGGCUGUGCUUGGCGCGUCCCCGGUCACCGUUGUGGCUGAGACGGCCGCGACCAGGCACACACCGAUUGCUGCCACGGUGCCUGUCCUCCUGCGGAACGCCGUCGGCCCCGUCGACGAAGCAGCCGCGCGGUGCUGCCGGACGCCAACAGGAUGGCCUGGGCGGCCGCGUCAGACCUCGUGGUCAUGGAGGUGGAUUUGUUAUCUGAGGUGUCCGCUGAAUUCUGGAUGAACUGCCACCACAACAGAAGGUAAAUGCUGCUUGUGGCCAGUAGUCUGUGCUGUGCCUCCCGCCGAGGCCCUCACCAUCGCGCUUCCAGGCUAUUUUGAGCGCCCGUGUCCCUGCGGCUAGCUACGCCCGCACCAUCGCAUUAUUUUCCGCGCGUGUGUCGCUCUUCCUGCUCAACCCAGGGUGCCCCCACCCUCCAGCAUGAUAUUUGCAUUUGAUGGUUUCCUGCAAAUGACAGAAUGUUGCUGUGGAGAAAUGUUGCGACUGUUUCAGAUAUUUGCAUCUAAUGGUUUCCUUCAAAUGACAGAAUAUUGCCAUAGAGACAUAUCACGAAGGCAUUGCAGGUAGAAGGAUGAAAUCAACAGAUCAAUGUCCAAGGUUUGAUUUGGUCUCAAAAAAAACCAUGGUCAUUAUCAGGGUCAAGUUAUUUGUGCCUUCCAAAAGAUUAUCAUUGGAAUCAGAAAAUCGAUCAUCCAUGCUCCCAUGAUAAAGUUGUACUUACGCUCUCACUCUGUCUCUCGGAUGACCAUGCCUGCAUCUUGACAUGUAAGAUAAGUAAGUAGCGCCGAUGUUUCUAAAUGAUUAGCAUUGUUUGGGGACGUUAAUAAAUAGGAUCUAUUGAUUUGGCUGACCAUGAGAAAGACAACGCUUGCCACUUAUUUCCUUGAUUUUUCAGUUCUCAAAAGAUGAACGUUCCCUUAAGUAAUUAAUGCACUGAAGCUUUGACUGUAUUUGUAUUGAGAAGUUCUUUGAAGUAGUAGUUUAUGCAUAGCAGGGAGAGUAGAGACUCUUAGCUGCUGCAAAUAAGCAAUUAACGCUUACAAUCCAUAAUGUCCUGUCUAAAGUAAUAUGUUCUAUUCUACAAAUGAGAAGCUAAAUAUGAAGAGAAAAAUAAUUAAUUGAGGGAGAUUUGACAUAGUUGGUGAAGGACAGUGAAAAUGUAACUAUACUGAUAGAGGAUACGAAAUGGCUAGAUUGUAGAAUGACAAAGAAAACAGUUAGCUUGAUGAAAGAUAAUGAAGAAAUAACUGGGUUGAUAAGCAUCAUGCUACUCUUGAAGAAAAUAUGUAAUUACUCAGUGAGGUUGGGGAUGCUAAAACCUGGAUAUGAAUCAACAUUAUUAUGUAAUCACUAAUUACUCAAUGAGGUUCAGGUGCUAAAUAUCAGUCUACUGUCGAAUAUGACUUUCUUUGUAAAGAGAUUUUUUUAUGUCACCUACUUUGCUUCAAUAAAUAAUUUGAUCAACCAAAUAUCACAAAAUUUGCUGGGUGUUUGGUUGAUCAGCUAUGCCCCUUCUUCUUUUCCACAGACUGAUAGAGAGCUUCCCAUCAUUUGUGGCAGUGUUUCCCAUCUUUUGUGAUGUUACCAUACAAAGGGAAAUCUCAUGGGCUUCUAGGUUCCAGCAAAUGCUCUUAGACUUCAAUCCUUUUUUUAUUGAAGACCAUUCAGUGGUACUGUGUUGUUGCUUUAUUACCUAAGAUUUUUCUUUUGUUUCUUCACAACUAUGCAGCUCUUCUGAUUCUGAUCAAAGAUGAAGGUACGUUGAAGCCAUCUCAAAAAGGAUAGUACAGUGUAAAGGGCCUCCGAUUCAUGUUCGUAUAAUCACUACUCUUUAAGAAAUACUCCCAUAUGCUACGAAAUUGAAAAUGCUGUUAUUCAUUUCUUUUCAUUUAAUCAAAAUGCUAUUCUAAGAUUCGUCAAUACUUUGUCUCUCAAAACAGGUCGUGAUGUAGAUCAUGUUUCUUUUUGCACGGGUGUUGUUCAGGAUGUUUCACUCACAAAUAAUACUACAUAGAUUCCCCUACAGAGAAAGUACAAGAAAUUGAAUAAAGUUUACUGUCACUUUAAGAGUUAUAUUUCUGAACCUGUGCCUUGCCUGCCAUAGCUGUGACAACAUAUCCUUAUGACUUUGUUUAGGAUGCUUAAUUUUCUUCCCAACUGCCCACUCUGCUCAGAAGUGUAUAUGCCGUUCUAUACUGAAGCAUGCUGCCACAUUCAGCUUAUUCAACAUAAUUUGCUUACCACAUUCAGUUUUAGAGUACUGUAUGGAGUAUCCAUGUCAGGAUGGGCUCUAAUCGGGAGGGUCAUCUGUAUGCUUCAGUACGGACUUCGAAAACAGAAAUCUAUGUACGCCUGAAUAUACUCAGUUUGGAUCUUUGAAACCCGACUUUUAAUUUCUAGAUCGAAAUUACAUAAAUAUUUUUCUUAACACAUUCAAAAACUGUUGUUGUGCAAUAUUUUAGAAAUAUUGCAUGGAAAGCACACAAUAUUUUAGAAAUAAUUGCAACAUUUAGAACAUAUGGUCAACCUUAAAUGACUAACACAGUUUUUUUCUAGGGUUCACUCUCUAUUGAAAGCAUCAAGUUACCUGUCCCUUUUUGCAUUGGAGUUUUUGGUGCCUAGAGAGUUCAGAUGACUGAAACUGAGGUGCAAGUAUUGUCAGUACUGGAUAAAGGGUGUUCUGACUUUGUACUGAUGUGGUUAGGACCAAAAUGAUGCUCAAGCAGCUACAUUCAGAUGUCUGCAUAUGACGUUUACAAAUGUCCGGUGCUCAGGCUACCUACAAGAGUAAACACUAUUUAGAUGGUAGUGUAGUUAUAUUACAUAUAUUUUUCAUCAGUAGUUGGUUUCAUGUUGAGUCGGAGAAAAAUGGGCAUCUAGAUCCAGAAGUAAUCACUUUUACUACAAACAAAAGGCCAUGGGUUUGAUAUGUGCCAGUACUGAAAUGAUAUUCAGCUCAUUUAGACAUAUGUUUGCCUUACUAUGGUGAGGCUCUGGACAUGUUGUCAGGAUCAUGGCAACUAUAGCACACCUUAUCAGUGUGUAUGUUGCAUUUCUGGUUGAUGACCAUGAUCGAUUUUCACACCAAUUAAGAGUUGGGUGGGUUAAUUUUAUUUUUCGGAUAGCAUUGUUGUCAUAGAAAUAAAAGAGUAAAGACUACUACGGAA
Molecule: long non-coding RNA, 3262 nt
Organism: Lolium rigidum
Lineage: Eukaryota; Viridiplantae; Streptophyta; Magnoliopsida; Poales; Poaceae
Exons: 8
Source: RefSeq, a predicted model, not a curated record